UUUCUGUGAUGAAAGUAGUGUUCAUGCUAGAUUUAAUAAAUCUAGGCAAUAUUAAUUUAUUGACGACUAGUGCAACAGAGACGAGCUUAUUAAGUUAAGAUGAAACGCUGUAAACUCCAUGAGUU
Molecule: non-coding RNA, 125 nt
Filed under: Metamycoplasma buccale
Lineage: Bacteria; Bacillati; Mycoplasmatota; Mycoplasmoidales; Metamycoplasmataceae
Source: RNAcentral